UUCCGGUUGAUCCCGCCGGACCUGACUGCUAUCGGAUUGAUACUAAGCCAUGCUAGUCUUUGUAGUAAUACAAGGCAUACGGCUCAGUAACGCGUAGUCAACCUACCCUAUGGACGGGGAUAAUCUCGGGAAACUGAGCAUAAUACCCGGCAGACCACUUAUCCUGGAAUGGUUAGUGGUUAAAAUGAUUCGUCGCCAUAGGAUGGGACUGCGGCCUAUCAGCUUGUUGGUGAGGUAAUGGCCCACCAAGGCGAUUACAGGUACGGGCUCUGAGAGGAGAGGCCCGGAGAUGGGUACUGAGACAAGGACCCAGGCCCUAUGGGGCGCAGCAGGCGAGAAAACUUUGCAAUGUGCGAAAGCACGACAAGGUUAAUCCGAGUGAUUUCUGCUAAAGGAAUCUUUUGUUAGUUCUAAAAAUACUAGUGAAUAAGGGGUGGGCAAGUUCUGGUGUCAGCCGCCGCGGUAAAACCAGCACCUCAAGUGGUCAGGAGGAUUAUUGGGCCUAAAGCAUCCGUAGCCUGUUCUAUAAGUUUGCGGUUAAAUCUAUACGCUCAACGUAUAGGCUGCCGUAAAUACUGUAGAACUAGGGAGUGGGAGAGGUAGACGGUACUCGGUAGGAAGGGGUAAAAUCCUUUGAUCUAUCGAUGACCACCUGUGGCGAAGGCGGUCUACCAGAACACGUUCGACGGUGAGGGAUGAAAGCUGGGGGAGCAAACCGGAUUAGAUACCCGGGUAGUCCCAGCUGUAAACGAUGCAGACUCGAUGAUGCAUUGGCAUAUAGCCAGUGCAGUGUCGCAGGGAAGCCGUUAAGUCUGCCGCCUGGGAAGUACGUACGCAAGUAUGAAACUUAAAGGAAUUGGCGGGGGAGCACCACAAGGGGUGAAGCCUGCGGUUCAAUUGGAUUCAACGCCGGG
This 914-nucleotide ribosomal RNA is filed under the name uncultured marine archaeon. RNAcentral's name for it is "bacterial SSU rRNA". It matches the Rfam family "Archaeal small subunit ribosomal RNA", at positions 1 to 922 of the family's 1478-position model. The record is from RNAcentral.